This 530-nucleotide long non-coding RNA is filed under the name Citrus maxima (pomelo). RNAcentral describes it as "long non-coding RNA (CMAX_LNC003811)". Lineage: Eukaryota; Viridiplantae; Streptophyta; Magnoliopsida; Sapindales; Rutaceae. The record is from RNAcentral.
GAAACACAUAUACGCUUAAUAAAAAAAUCACAAUUAUCAAAUUAUUGGAUUAAAAAAUUAUCAAAUUACAGACAGUCACCUGAGAUCAUGGUGAGAACAUUACCGAAUAAAUUGUACUAAAAUUGCUACGAAAAAGAAAAAAAAAAAAGGGGUAAUAAUGCUUCUCCAUUAAUACCAACAACAAACCAAUCAAGUCCGAUAACAUCGAUAUUUACAGCACAUGAGUCAUGACUCCCAACUGUUAGUCUGUUACCAGGGACAUGAAUUUCUUCCUCACCCGUUUUCAUAAAAUCUUCAACUUGUUUCUUUCCAACGAGUUGAGUAAAUUGAAGAAAAUCACAAAAUCAAUUAAAAUAAUAUGGAGAAAAAAGGAAAAAGCAGCAGCAAGUAUAACUUGGUAUGGGAGAGAAAGGAAGAAAAUGAGAGAGUUAGAGAUGAGAUUUGACGGCGACGGAGAGUGAGGAAGAAGAUGAGAGGAAAAAUUAUAUCUUAAUUAUGCUUUGGAAAACGCGUUGAAAUAUUGUCUCUUA